GACCAUCUGGAGUAUUCGCCAGUUUAUGCAUUACCUGAGCUGAUAAUAUACUUUAGGGUAUGCGAUCUAUCCGCUUGGUGUGCAAGCCUGCAUCUUUGGAUGAAUCAGGAAGCCUGUAGAGCGGUUGCCAUACCCACCCUGAACGUUUCAGUUCAUGGGUUCACAUAGACAGCGGUACUCUGGAGCUGUA
This is a non-coding RNA of 190 nucleotides. It matches the Rfam family "6S / SsrS RNA". Rfam says of the family: E. coli 6S RNA was the first non coding RNA to be sequenced, but its function was unknown until recently. The record is from Rfam.